GCCGGGGUGGCGAAACUGGUAUACGCGCUUGAUUCAAAAUCAAGUGGUGGUAACACCGUGUCGGUUCGACUCCGACCCUCGGCACCA
RNAcentral lists this transfer RNA (87 nucleotides) under Thiothrix sp. RNAcentral describes it as "tRNA-Leu". It matches the Rfam family "tRNA". Rfam says of the family: Transfer RNA (tRNA) molecules are approximately 80 nucleotides in length. Their secondary structure includes four short double-helical elements and three loops (D, anti-codon, and T loops). Lineage: Bacteria; Pseudomonadati; Pseudomonadota; Gammaproteobacteria; Thiotrichales; Thiotrichaceae. The record is from RNAcentral.